ACGUCCUGAACGGAAGGAUCCCUUCUGGGAACUUCUCAGGAGGGGGACCUGGGCCAAGGGCUCGACCAGCAUCUCACUGGCAAUUCCAAGGCCCAUGGUGGGCUUC
Molecule: unclassified non-coding RNA, 106 nt
Organism: Panthera pardus (leopard)
Lineage: Eukaryota; Metazoa; Chordata; Mammalia; Carnivora; Felidae
Source: Ensembl